This 562-nucleotide ribosomal RNA is filed under the name uncultured archaeon. RNAcentral describes it as "bacterial SSU rRNA". It matches the Rfam family "Archaeal small subunit ribosomal RNA", at positions 6 to 572 of the family's 1478-position model. The record is from RNAcentral.
GGUUGAUCCUGCCGGAGGCUACUGCUAUCGGGGUCCGAUUAAGCCAUGCGAGUUGAGAGGGGUAAGCCCUCGGCAUAUUGCUCAGUAACACGCGGAUAACCUGCCCUUGGGUUCGGGAUAACCCCGGGAAACUGGGACUAAUACCGGAUAGAUCAAAGAAACUGGAAUGUUCUCUGGUUUAAAACUCCGGUGCCCAAGGAUGGGUCUGCGGCCUAUCAGGUAGUAGUGGGUGUAACGUACCUACUAGCCUACGACGGGUAAGGGUUGUGAGAGCAAGAGCCCUGAGAUGGAUUCUGAGACAUGAAUCCAGGCCCUACGGGGUGCAGCAGGCGCGAAAACUUUACACUGCGGGAAACCGCGAUAAGGGGACCCCGAGUGCCAGCACCUAGUGCUGGCUGUCCAGCUGUCCAAAUAACAGUUGUUAGCAAGGGCCGGGCAAGACCGGUGCCAGCCGCCGCGGUAACACCGGCGGCCCGAGUGGUAGCCGUUAUUAUUGGGUUUAAAGGGUCCGUAGCCGGCCUAUUAAGUCUCUUGGGAAAUCUGGCGACUCAAUCGUCAGUCG